Dermochelys coriacea (leatherback sea turtle) is the source of this 2579-nucleotide long non-coding RNA. RefSeq lists it as uncharacterized. The transcript is spliced from 3 exons. The record is from RefSeq and is a predicted model, not a curated record. Lineage: Eukaryota; Metazoa; Chordata; Testudines; Dermochelyidae.
AUCAAAGGUCUCAAGUUUGUUGUAUGAACUUAUUCAAACUAAUGGAUAGCACAGAAUUUACAGUGUGUUUUAUAAGGCAAGGGUAAGAAAGAUAACAAAGAAUUGCCUGUGUAUUUUGUACUUUAUGGCCAAAUCUGCAGUAAAUUUUAUCAAAACAUCCAUCAAUCUAUCCCAAAGUGAGAUUAUUUUCCAUAUAAAAGCCUGAGAUUGUUUAAUCUUUAAGAAGCUUACUCCUUAAUACUCCUUUUUCUUUGCUUACCACUUACAUUAAAAGUGGUUUUAAGAAGAGCAAGUCCAUUUUUUUCUUUUGAAAUUUAAAUAAUGAAAAUCCUCAGCUAACAGUUUCAAGACAUAUAGGAUUUAAAAUGUAUUUUCAACAUAUUUCUGCUAACUCUGCUAUUGAGCUACCUUACAAUAUCUCUUUUUUUCUAGUGAACACCAUUUUUUUUUUUGCAUUCAAAGCUGAGCCAUUCAGAUCUGUCAUCCGAGAGCUGACAAGUACAGUAGGUGUAACUGCACUGUUCUAGUAUCCUAAAGAAAACCACUCUCUUAGGAAUAUAGAACAUUACUGGCAAAUGGUACAUGUUUCCAGACACCAACAUCUGAGGCCAUGAUGCAUUUGUUCUUUUAAACUCUCCUUUUACUUCAUAGCAAUUCUAGCUAAUUCAGGGGAACGCUUUUUUCUCUUGAAUAUGCUCCAGCUCCUUUGAAGCUAAGAUAGCUGCACAAUGAAGAGGUAUUUAGAAACAGGAACUCCUGGCACAAUAUGAAUUUGUAAGUAGUUUGUGAAGCCAGCAAUUUCAUCAUGAUUGUUGCCAAACAUUGUGGGUGGGGGCAGGCAUGGUAUGUACAUUUUUCAGAUGUUCCACUGUAGCAGCUACUUGGUACGUUUCCUCCAAACACUAAAUAGUCGGUAGGUAAGUUAACAUUUGGCCUUUUGCCUUCACACACAAAAAGCUCUAUGUGUCAACUGUGAAAACUUAAAAUGAAAUUGAAAUACAAUUAUUUUUCAUCUGAGGUGGUAGGAGACAACUGGUAAUGCUUUACCCCCUCCCACUUUUUUUUCUUUUUUUCCAGUCUUUCUUUUUAGUUCUUCAUGCUGAAAGUAGAAUACAAUGCAACACAUUUUUGGAAGACUAAGUAUACAGUUACAGUGCCAGUCCUACCUGCUGCAUCCUUCAGCAUGUUCCAAGGGAAGCAUGCAGAAUAUUUUACUGUGCUGUAUGCCACAUAAUUCAGUUUCUCAACUGCUUAGAAAGACUAAUACCCCACUGCAAAGCAAACUGACACUAUAUUAAGAAGGUUUUUUUCUUCAGAUAAAGCAUUAGGAAAGUGUCACCUGUGUCAUUCGUCAUAUCUGGGUUCCAGGAGGAAACAAAAUUCAUCAACCUGCAAUUGUAGCUAGCAUAUCCCUAGGAUUUCAUAGCUUUCACACUUCAGCUAUUUCCCUAUGUACACAAGGAUGCUGUCAACAGUUAUUCAUAUGAAGAUACUAAUUUACCUCUUGGUGCCUGAAUUCGUUGUUACCAUCCUUUGCUCUGGACUACAUGGCGAGAGUUGUCCAUUUACUACAUGUUCAAGAUUCCCUAUGAUUGUCCUGUGUUGAAUGAGAGCAUGGUCUUGGUGCAUGAUUUGACCUGCAUCACCCAUAAAUAGAUCAAAUAAAACUGCCUUCGCUUUCUGAAGAAUAAAAACUGAAGGAAACUGUUAUCAUUAAAAUGCCAGCAAUCACCAUCCAGUGCUCCUGCAUGUACCAAGUGGUGUGGAGUAAAGUCACCUCUAUUGCUCUCCUGCUGACCUGGUGCAUCCCCUCAGUGGUGCCAGUCUUCCAUUCGCUACAAUAUCAUUAGUUGUCUAUUUCAAAAGAUUUAGGGCUCAGGCUAUGUCUACACUAUCACUUAUGUUGGUAUAACUUGUGUCACUCAGGCAUGUGACUAAACUGCCACCCGAGUGACAUAAGUUACACUGACCUAUGUGGAACAGUGCGUGUGGACAGGACAGAUUCUCCAACACACUAGCUACCCCGCUCGCUGGGAUGGAUUAAUUAAGUCGAUAGGAGAGUUUCUUUCCCGUCGGCUAAGAGCAGUAUACUGAGAAGUUACAGCAGAGCAGCUGCAUUGGUGCAACUGCGCUGCUGUAACCUCUCCAGUGUAGUCAUAGCCUCAAUUAUGCAAGAUGCCUGAGCCCUUUGACCUUGACUCAGGAAAACACAAGUAUCUGCUUAACAUUAAGCACACAGUGGGACUACUCACGGACUUAAAUUUAAAUGUGUAUUAAGUGUUUUCCUGGAUCAGGGCCAGAGUACUCAGCACCUUGCAGACUUGAGCCCUAACUGUUGUGCUACAUAAGGAACAUGUAUAGCAAACUUCUGAAAUCAAAAUUCUGAAUCUUACCAUUGGCAAAUAUUACCCAUGAGAAAUAACCCAACCGUGUGUUAUUUUUAUGCAUUUUAUUCUGUUAAAAACAAAAUUUAAUUUUUGGGUUAACUUCAGAGUUAUGCAGAAUUUUGUGGGUGGCAUUUAUUUUGCAGUAUGUGGUUCUUGUUUGAAUAUAGUGGAUUAUUUAAAUCUACCCGUUGU